CCUACGGGGGGCAGCAGUGGGGAAUAUUGCACAAUGGGGGAAACCCUGAUGCAGCAACGCCGCGUGAGUGAAGAAGUAUUUCGGUAUGUAAAGCUCUAUCAGCAGGGAAGAAAAUGACAGUACCUGACUAAGAAGCCCCGGCUAACUACGUGCCAGCAGCCGCGGUAAUACGUAGGGGGCAAGCGUUAGCCGGAUUUACUGGGUGGAAAGGGAGCGUAGACGGCUGCGCAAGUCAGAAGUGAAAGCCCCGGGGUUAACCGCGGGAAUGCUUUUGAAACUGUGUAGCUAGAGUGCAGGAGAGGUAAGUGGAAUUCCUAGUGUAGCGGUGAAAUGCGUAGAUAUUAGGAGGAACACCGGUGGCGAAGGCGGCUUACUGGACUGGAACUGACGUUGAGGCUCGAAAGCGUGGGGAGCAAACAGGAUUAGAUACCCGAGUAGUC
RNAcentral lists this ribosomal RNA (440 nucleotides) under uncultured bacterium. Its description in RNAcentral is "partial 16S ribosomal RNA". It matches the Rfam family "Bacterial small subunit ribosomal RNA", at positions 338 to 795 of the family's 1533-position model. The record is from RNAcentral.